RNAcentral lists this ribosomal RNA (440 nucleotides) under uncultured bacterium. RNAcentral's name for it is "partial 16S ribosomal RNA". It matches the Rfam family "Bacterial small subunit ribosomal RNA", at positions 338 to 795 of the family's 1533-position model. The record is from RNAcentral.
CCUACGGGAUGCAGCAGUGGGGAAUAUUGCACAAUGGGGGAAACCCUGAUGCAGCGACGCCGCGUGAGUGAAGAAGUAUUUCGGUACGUAAAGCUCUAUCAGCAGGGAAGAAAAUGACGGUACCUGACUAAGAAGCCCCGGCUAACUACGUGCCAGCAGCCGCGGUAAUACGUAGGGGGCAAGCGUUAUCCGGAUUUACUGGGUGUAAAGGGAGCGUAGACGGCAGCGCAAGUCUGGAGUGAAAUCCCAUGGCUUAACCAUGGAACUGCUUUGGAAACUGUGCAGCUAGAGUGCAGGAGAGGUAAGCGGAAUUCCUAGUGUAGCGGUGAAAUGCGUAGAUAUUAGGAGGAACACCAGUGGCGAAGGCGGCUUACUGGACUGUAACUGACGUUGAGGCUCGAAAGCGUGGGGAGCAAACAGGAUUAGAUACCCCUGUAGUC